AAAAUGAUGAUGGGGAGAGUCGGGAGACCAAGCGAAGUAUUCAUGAUGCUCUGUGCGUUGCAAGGAAUCUGAUCAUCAACAACUCAAUUGUGUAUGGUGGUGGCUCAGAAUAUCUUGCUCAAUUGUUGUUGAAGCCGCAGCGGAUCGGCAUCCUGAAGUUGAGCAGUAUGCAAUCAGGGCGCUUGCUGAUGCUUUGGAUGCUAUCCCACUAGCUUUAGCUGAAAACAGUAGUAAAAUCCCAACAUGUCAAGAGGGUCAAUGUCAAAGGGUCAUAUUUAUCCAGCGGUCCUUCCUGUCGAAAGCAAGAAAAUGUCCUGAAAGGUUUGUUGACAGUUAUACAAGGUUCAUCUGCUUAUCUUUUUCUUUUUUGACAUUACUUUGAAUCUGUAGAUUUGCUAAUAUGUUGUCAUGUUAUCUUAUUUCACCACUGUCAUGAGGGCUUAUAGUUCUGCCGUUUUGCUCAACCCAGAAUAUGGAACUGCCGGAAUGUUUAAAAUGUUGGAAACUAUCGGUGGAAGCUACAAGAUUUAUUUAUCAAAACUCAUUACCAAUCAGAUUAGAGAGGUAAGUGAUUGGGGUAAUGUUUUGGUCAAAUACUUUUGCACAGAAGCCUCACUGUACAAAGUACUUCUUAUUCAGAUCAUGAGACAUUUUUUCCAUACCAUCCCUUUGAAAUGAAAUACCAUUAUUAGAGGGAGCUUCACGGGUAAAUGGUGGCAUUGUGGCAGCUAAUUGUAACAUCUUAUUUUGUUAUAUGUGGUUCCAAAAGUAUUGGCCAGUCAGAAUGCAAGUGCAUGCCUUAAAAUAAAUGUAAGUGUAGGUUUACAACUAGCACAAUGUGACUAUUUUUGUGAUAAUGAAGAAAUAUGAAGUACUUCCAAAAUUAAAAGUAAAUGGAAUUUGCAACAAGGGUAAUUCCUUUUUGAGAAAACGCAACAUCUGCUUUGGUCUUGGUGUACAGGCUUCUGUUCCUGGAAAAGAAGCAAUAUAUAGUCACUUUUAUUUUGCAAGCAUCAUGUGUAAGUCACCCAGGGUUUUUUUCUCUCUCAAGGAACUUGCGGGAGCACAUCCUUGUAGAGUACGUAAUGGGCCUAAUGGGCCUGGGCUGGCGGUAUAGCCCGUUAGUCUUAGGGUUAAUUAGAGAUAAGGGUCGCUUGCUUAGGGGUCAAGUAAGCCU
Long non-coding RNA from Triticum aestivum (bread wheat), 1177 nucleotides. RefSeq lists it as uncharacterized. The record is from RefSeq and is a predicted model, not a curated record. The transcript has 4 exons. Lineage: Eukaryota; Viridiplantae; Streptophyta; Magnoliopsida; Poales; Poaceae.